AGAGUUUGAUCAUGGCUCAGAUUGAACGCUGGCGGCAGGCCUAACACAUGCAAGUCGAGCGGAAACGAGUUAUCUGAACCUUCGGGGAACGAUAACGGCGUCGAGCGGCGGACGGGUGAGUAAUGCCUAGGAAAUUGCCCUGAUGUGGGGGAUAACCAUUGGAAACGAUGGCUAAUACCGCAUAAUACCUACGGGUCAAAGAGGGGGACCUUCGGGCCUCUCGCGUCAGGAUAUGCCUAGGUGGGAUUAGCUAGUUGGUGAGGUAAUGGCUCACCAAGGCGACGAUCCCUAGCUGGUCUGAGAGGAUGAUCAGCCACACUGGAACUGAGACACGGUCCAGACUCCUACGGGAGGCAGCAGUGGGGAAUAUUGCACAAUGGGCGCAAGCCUGAUGCAGCCAUGCCGCGUGUGUGAAGAAGGCCUUCGGGUUGUAAAGCACUUUCAGUCGUGAGGAAGGUAGUGUAGUUAAUAGCUGCAUUAUUUGACGUUAGCGACAGAAGAAGCACCGGCUAACUCCGUGCCAGCAGCCGCGGUAAU
RNAcentral lists this ribosomal RNA (537 nucleotides) under uncultured bacterium. Its description in RNAcentral is "bacterial SSU rRNA". It matches the Rfam family "Bacterial small subunit ribosomal RNA", at positions 8 to 524 of the family's 1533-position model. The record is from RNAcentral.